GACGAACGCUGGCGGCGUGCUUAACACAUGCAAGUCGAACGGUAAGGCCCUUCGGGGUACACGAGUGGCGAACGGGGGAGUAACACGUGGGUGAUCUGCCCUGCACUUCGGGAUAAGCCUGGGAAACUGGGCCUAAUACCGGAUAGGACUCCUGGCUUCAUGGUUGGGGGUGGGAAGCUUUUGCGGUGUGGGAUGGGCCCGCGGCCUAUCAGCUUGUUGGUGGGGUAAUGGCUUACCAAGGCGACGACGGGUAGCCGGCCUGAGAGGGUGACCGGUCACACUGGGACUGAGAUACGGCCCAGACUCCUACGGGAGGCAGCAGUGGGGAAUAUUGCACAAUGGGCGCAAGCCUGAUGCAGCGACGCCGCGUGAGGGAUGACGGCCUUCGGGUUGUAAACCUCUUUCAGCUAUGACGAAGCGCAAGUGACGGUAGUAGCAGAAGAAGGACCGGCCAACUACGUGCCAGCCGCCGCCGUAA
This 478-nucleotide ribosomal RNA is filed under the name uncultured bacterium. Its description in RNAcentral is "partial 16S ribosomal RNA". It matches the Rfam family "Bacterial small subunit ribosomal RNA", at positions 28 to 523 of the family's 1533-position model. The record is from RNAcentral.